GAUGAAGAACGUAGCGAAAUGCGAUAAGUAAUGUGAAUUGCAGAAUUCAGUGAAUCAUCGAAUCUUUGAACGCACAUUGCGCCCGCCAGUAUCCUGGCGGGCAUGCCUGUCUGAGCGUCAUUUCAACCCUCAUGCCCCUAGGGCGUGGUGUUGGGGAUCGGCCAAAGCCCGCGAGGGACGGCCGGCCCCUAAAUCUAGUGGCGGACCCGUCGUGGCCUCCUCUGCGAAGUAGUGAUAUUCCGCAUCGGAGAGCGAUGAGCCCCUGCCGUUAAACCCCCAACUUUCCAAGGUUGACCUCAGAUCAGGUAGGAAUACCCGCUGAACUUAAGCAUAUCAAUAAGCGGAGGA
Molecule: unclassified non-coding RNA, 348 nt
Filed under: soil metagenome
Description: partial contains 5.8S ribosomal RNA, internal transcribed spacer 2, and large subunit ribosomal RNA
Rfam family: 5.8S ribosomal RNA (bases 1-120)
Source: RNAcentral